RNAcentral lists this unclassified non-coding RNA (346 nucleotides) under soil metagenome. Its description in RNAcentral is "partial contains 5.8S ribosomal RNA, internal transcribed spacer 2, and large subunit ribosomal RNA". The stretch from base 1 to 119 matches the Rfam family "5.8S ribosomal RNA", at positions 35 to 154 of the family's 154-position model. The record is from RNAcentral.
GAUGAAGAACGCAGCGAAAUGCGAUACGUAAUGUGAAUUGCAAAUUCAGUGAAUCAUCGAGUCUUUGAACGCACAUUGCGCCCCCUGGUAUUCCGGGGGGCAUGCCUGUCCGAGCGUCAUUGCUGCCCUCAAGCACGGCUUGUGUGUUGGGCCCCGUCCUCCGAUCCCGGGGGACGGGCCCGAAAGGCAGCGGCGGCACCGCGUCCGGUCCUCGAGCGUAUGGGGCUUUGUCACCCGCUCUGUAGGCCCGGCCGGCGCUUGCCGAUCAACCCAAAUUUUUUAUCCAGGUUGACCUCGGAUCAGGUAGGGAUACCCGCUGAACUUAAACAUAUCAAUAAGCGGAGGA